GAUGAAGAACGUAGUGAAAUGCGAUACGUAAUGUGAAUUGCAGAAUUCAGUGAAUCAUCGAAUCUUUGAACGCAUAUUGCGCUCUUUGGUAUUCCGAAGAGCAUGCUUGUUUGAGUAUCAGUAAACACCUCAACCUCUUCUUGAUUUUUCAAAAGGAGGGUGGACUUGAGCUAUCCCAACAACCUUUACCGGUCGGCGGGCGGCUUGAAAUGCAGGUGCAGCUGGACUUUUAUCUGAGCUAAAAGCAUAUCUAUUUAGUCCUCGUCAAACAGGAUUAUUACUUUUGCUGCAGCUAACAUAAAGGAUAAUUGUCCUCUUUGCUGACUGAUGCAGGAUUUUACUACACUUUAUGUGUUGUUCAACUCGAUCUCAAAUCAAGUAAGACUACCCGCUGAACUUAAGCAUAUCAAUAAGCGGAGGA
Molecule: unclassified non-coding RNA, 421 nt
Filed under: soil metagenome
Description: partial contains 5.8S ribosomal RNA, internal transcribed spacer 2, and large subunit ribosomal RNA
Rfam family: 5.8S ribosomal RNA (bases 1-120)
Source: RNAcentral